This 434-nucleotide ribosomal RNA is filed under the name uncultured Coprococcus sp. Its description in RNAcentral is "partial 16S ribosomal RNA". It matches the Rfam family "Bacterial small subunit ribosomal RNA", at positions 341 to 792 of the family's 1533-position model. The record is from RNAcentral. Lineage: Bacteria; Bacillati; Bacillota; Clostridia; Lachnospirales; Lachnospiraceae.
ACGGAAGGCAGCAGUGGGGAAUAUUGCACAAUGGGGAAAACCCUGAUGCAGCGACGCCGCGUGAGUGAAGAAGUAUUUCGGUAUGUAAAGCUCUAUCAGCAGGGAAGAUAAUGACGGUACCUGACUAAGAAGCCCCGGCUAACUACGUGCCAGCAGCCGCGGUAAUACGUAGGGGGCAAGCGUUAUCCGGAUUUACUGGGUGUAAAGGGAGCGUAGGUGGUUUGGCAAGUCAGAAGUGAAAGCCAGGGGCUCAACCCCUGGAUUGCUUUUGAAACUGUCAGACUAGAGUACUGGAGAGGUAAGCGGAAUUCCUAGUGUAGCGGUGAAAUGCGUAGAUAUUAGGAGGAACACCAGUGGCGAAGGCGGCUUACUGGACAGCAACUGACACUGAGGCUCGAAAGCGUGGGGAGCAAACAGGAUUAGAUACCCUGGUA